RNAcentral lists this ribosomal RNA (437 nucleotides) under uncultured bacterium. RNAcentral describes it as "partial 16S ribosomal RNA". It matches the Rfam family "Bacterial small subunit ribosomal RNA", at positions 29 to 507 of the family's 1533-position model. The record is from RNAcentral.
AGCGAACGCUGGCGGCAGGCUUAACACAUGCAAGUCGAGCGGGCAUCCUUGUGGUGUCAGCGGCAGACGGGUGAGUAACGCGUGGGAACGUGCCCUUCGGUUCGGAAUAACUCAGGGAAACUUGAGCUAAUACCGGAUACGUGCGAGAGCAGAAAGGUUUAUCUGCCGAAGGAUCGGCCCGCGUCUGAUUAGCUAGUUGGUGAGGUUAUGGCUCACCAAGGCGACGAUCAGUAGCUGGUCUGAGAGGAUGAUCAGCCACACUGGGACUGAGACACGGCCCAGACUCCUACGGGAGGCAGCAGUGGGGAAUAUUGGACAAUGGGGGCGACCGUGAUCCAGCCAUGCCGCGUGAUGUAUGCCGCCCUUAGGGGUGUAAAGCGCUGUUCUCCGGGACGAUAAUGACGGUACCGGAGGAAUAAGCCCCGGCUAACUUCGUG